UAACAUUUUGAACCGCAUGGUUCGAAAUUGAAAGGCGGCUUCGGCUGUCACUUAUGGAUGGACCCGCGUCGCAUUAGCUAGUUGGUGAGGUAACGGCUCACCAAGGCAACGAUGCGUAGCCGACCUGAGAGGGUGAUCGGCCACACUGGGACUGAGACACGGCCCAGACUCCUACGGGAGGCAGCAGUAGGGAAUCUUCCGCAAUGGACGAAAGUCUGACGGAGCAACGCCGCGUGAGUGAUGAAGGCUUUCGGGUCGUAAAACUCUGUUGUUAGGGAAGAACAAGUGCUAGUUGAAUAAGCUGGCACCUUGACGGUACCUAACCAGAAAGCCACGGCUAACUACGUGCCAGCAGCCGCGGUAAUACGUAGGUGGCAAGCGUUAUCCGGAAUUAUUGGGCGUAAAGCGCGCGCAGGUGGUUUCUUAAGUCUGAUGUGAAAGCCCACGGCUCAACCGUGGAGGGUCAUUGGGAAACUGGGAGACUUGAGUGCAGAAGAGGAAAGUGGAAUUCCAUGUGUAGCGGUGAAAUGCGUAGAGAUAUGGGAGGAACACCAGUGGCGAAGGCGACUUUUCUGGUCUGUAACUGACACUGAGGCGCGAAAGCGUGGGGGAGCA
This 615-nucleotide ribosomal RNA is filed under the name Bacillus cereus. RNAcentral describes it as "bacterial SSU rRNA". It matches the Rfam family "Bacterial small subunit ribosomal RNA", at positions 173 to 770 of the family's 1533-position model. Lineage: Bacteria; Bacillati; Bacillota; Bacilli; Caryophanales; Bacillaceae. The record is from RNAcentral.